This 598-nucleotide ribosomal RNA is filed under the name Staphylococcus aureus. RNAcentral's name for it is "partial 23S ribosomal RNA". It matches the Rfam family "Bacterial large subunit ribosomal RNA", at positions 946 to 1547 of the family's 2925-position model. The record is from RNAcentral. Lineage: Bacteria; Bacillati; Bacillota; Bacilli; Caryophanales; Staphylococcaceae.
CAGACAAACUCCGAAUGCCAAUUAAUUUAACUUGGGAGUCAGAACAUGGGUGAUAAGGUCCGUGUUCGAAAGGGAAACAGCCCAGACCACCAGCUAAGGUCCCAAAAUAUAUGUUAAGUGGAAAAGGAUGUGGCGUUGCCCAGACAACUAGGAUGUUGGCUUAGAAGCAGCCAUCAUUUAAAGAGUGCGUAAUAGCUCACUAGUCGAGUGACACUGCGCCGAAAAUGUACCGGGGCUAAACAUAUUACCGAAGCUGUGGAUUGUCCUUUGGACAAUGGUAGGAGAGCGUUCUAAGGGCGUUGAAGCAUGAUCGUAAGGACAUGUGGAGCGCUUAGAAGUGAGAAUGCCGGUGUGAGUAGCGAAAGACGGGUGAGAAUCCCGUCCACCGAUUGACUAAGGUUUCCAGAGGAAGGCUCGUCCGCUCUGGGUUAGUCGGGUCCUAAGCUGAGGCCGACAGGCGUAGGCGAUGGAUAACAGGUUGAUAUUCCUGUACCACCUAUAAUCGUUUUAAUCGAUGGGGGGACGCAGUAGGAUAGGCGAAGCGUGCGAUUGGAUUGCACGUCUAAGCAGUAAGGCUGAGUAUUAGGCAAAUCCGGUA